AUUGAGCUCUGGGAAAUGGGAUUUUUCUUUAUUUUUCACUGCACGUUUGUCUGCAGCAUAAUAUCUGUCACUGUUUACCAAAUCUCAACACAUUCACUUUAACAAUCCACUUGGAGUCAAGAUGGACUCAACUUCUGGGCUGGAGGAAAUACAAGAGAAAAACAAAAACAGCUUGAGGGCCUCCAAGUCCUACUUUAUUUCACGUUUUACUUUUUGACUCUCAAGGCAAACUUUAGAUUUGGAUAGAAUGGACACUCAUCUUACAGCAGAACAUUCAGCUCUCCAAGGAGCAAUGUAAAAGGCCCUGUGUGUACGGUGACCUCACAAGUGGCUAAUGCUCCUGCCCCAGCCUGAGCUGGACGGAGGACCAACUCAGAGUGCUUCCCCCUCUGACGUCAGCUGACCAGACCAGGUAACAUGAUGGGGUUAGGUUUCCUUAUUUUAGGUACCUUCAUGAAAGCGAACGAUAUUGCUCUGGCCCUCUUUCCCUCCCACUCUUGGACCAACACACAAAACUACAUCAUACAUUUGUACAUGAUUGUCAAGUGACAGAAUGGCUAUCUCUGAAGGUUCUCUUUCCUGUCCUCAAUUUUUUCCUGUAACAACAGGCCUAUUGAUAACAUCUAUGUAUUAGCUCCUAGAUGUCCCUUUCUUUGAUCUAAAAAAAACCUGAAUUCUGUUUAAAUAAAAGUAAACACCCCUAAGAGGAGUCUUGUGUAAAGAUGCUAUCAGUCAUUCACACCCUAGGAUAAAUUGCUGCAUUCAGGCAAUUAACAUUUAUUACAGGCCUUCUGAGGGUCUGUGCCAG
This 808-nucleotide long non-coding RNA is filed under the name Marmota monax (woodchuck). Lineage: Eukaryota; Metazoa; Chordata; Mammalia; Rodentia; Sciuridae. The record is from RNAcentral.